AUAUCAAUAAGCGGAGGAAAAGAAACCAACAGGGAUUGCCUUAGUAACGGCGAGUGAAGCGGCAAAAGCUCAAAUUUGAAAUCUAGCACUUUCAGUGUUCGAGUUGUAAUUUGAAGAAGGUAACUUUGGAAUUGGCUCUUGUCUAUGUUCCUUGGAACAGGACGUCACAGAGGGUGAGAAUCCCGUGCGAUGAGAUGUCCAAUUCUAUGUAAAGUGCUUUCGAAGAGUCGAGUUGUUUGGGAAUGCAGCUCUAAGUGGGUGGUAAAUUCCAUCUAAAGCUAAAUAUUGGCGAGAGACCGAUAGCGAACAAGUACAGUGAUGGAAAGAUGAAAAGAACUUUGAAAAGAGAGUGAAAAAGUACGUGAAAUUGUUGAAAGGGAAGGGCUUGAGAUCAGACUUGGUAUUUUGUGUUCCUUAUCCUUCUUGGAUUAGGUUCCUCACAGCUUACCGGGCCAGCAUCGGUUUGGAUGGCAGGAUAAUGACAUUGGAAUGUAGCUUUGCUUCGGUGAAGUGUUAUAGACUUUGUUGAUACUGCCUAUCUAGACCGAGGACUGCGUCUUUGACUAGGAUGCUGGCGUAAU
This 581-nucleotide ribosomal RNA is filed under the name [Candida] sp. BG01-8-20-001A-2-1. RNAcentral's name for it is "eukaryotic LSU rRNA". It matches the Rfam family "Eukaryotic large subunit ribosomal RNA", at positions 40 to 635 of the family's 3401-position model. The record is from RNAcentral. RNAcentral also lists the same sequence under 1 other name. Lineage: Eukaryota; Fungi; Ascomycota; Saccharomycetes; Saccharomycetales.